Canis lupus familiaris (dog) is the source of this 2048-nucleotide long non-coding RNA. RefSeq lists it as uncharacterized. The transcript has 2 exons. The record is from RefSeq and is a predicted model, not a curated record. Lineage: Eukaryota; Metazoa; Chordata; Mammalia; Carnivora; Canidae.
AUAAAAAAAAAAAAAAAAAAAAAGCAAAACCCCUCUCCAGAACAGAUUGCCAGGACCCCAAAGGCACUGCUAAACAGAGCUUUAGCAGAAGCAGCUUGGCUGCAGCAGAUAACCUCAACCCUUAGGAAACAGCAAAAUGCAAGGUCUUCACCAACCUGAGAGGUCAGCCCUGCUUCUGGAAGCCCACAGACGUCUGGGCCCACAAGCUCUGAAACAAGCCACCGCCCACCAUCCCCACCCACACCUGCAGGAGGAGGCUUGCUGCUGUAACCUCCUGGGUUCAGGAGGAUUUCCAGGACAGCCUGGCCUACACCAACUUCAAACCUGGCCCCCAACACUGUGCCUUUUCCAGCCAACCCAACCCCCAUUCAUCUGAAUCACCACAGUGAUUUUUUAAAAUUCCAUUACCAAGAGCAACAGUGUAGAACAGGGCAGAGAAACACACAGAGGAUGUUCCUAACGAAAAGUUGCCUUAUACUGCCUCUUCUCCCCCCAGAAAGGGAGAAAUUCUAGGUGUACAGACACACACACCCACACACACUCAUGCAUGCACAUGUACACACGCAUACAUAUAGGUUUUUCCCUGAUAUUCAAAAUUCUUUGUGAAUUAGCUCUGAUUCUGCUGAACCCUUCUUUUUAAAAAGGAAAGAAAAGGAGCCACAAACACCAGUAUACUUCUGCAAGGGCUGGCCAGCUCAUGACAUUUCAACUGAACUUUCACACAGCCAUCACCAAAAGCAGGCCAGAAUUUGGCCAAGCCCGGAAGACCACCAAAAGGUCAGACAUCUAGAAUGUUGUAGAUCCAGGAGAGCAGAAUGUCAGAAAAUUAAAAGCUGAAUUCUUCAGGCUUUUUUUUUUUUUUUUUUUUUUAGGUUCCUGUUAACUUCUGAUCUUUACUCUUUACUUUUAAUAACAGUUACCUUAUUUUUUAAGUCAAAGUGUUUUGACCUCUGCCCCUUAGCAAGGCAAAAGCCUUCUUGAGGAGGAAAGGGUGGCAUUUUAAAGGGGCUUCCAGAGCGUGGUAGAGGAGACUCCUGCAGUGAUAUUCUGAGCUGAUGUUCGACACAACUGUGCCAGAGUUUCAUCAACAACAUUUGUUUUGGUUUCAACACCUCCAACGAGACAGAUUCCAGAUCCUUCACACCCCAGGCUGCAGCUGACCAACGUUCCACAGGAUGCCAACAUGCUGAAAAUAGGUUUUACCUGAAAGAAAAGGAAGAACCAGUCAGUGCCCUCAGCAGAAUCCUGCAUCCAUUCUGAGCCUAAAGUCUCCAGCCUGCAGGUCACACUCACCAACCACAGGAUUUUUGAACAUGCUGUCUGGAAGGUAACUCCUUCAUUCCCUUCAGCUCCUACCUCAGGAUCCUAGCUCCCUAUGCAGACUCCCUAGUACAUCACUUCUUUUCUCCUUGCAUCCUUCCUUCCUAGCAAUUCAACCAGUGUUUACAUCGGGGCUCAGCAAAAGUUUUCUGUAAAACUCCAGAGACACCAAGCACACGGUACCAGGCAAUGUGGGGAUACGAAAAACAUUCAUGCAGCAAGUGAAAGAAAGCUUGGAAACCAGAUCCACUCAAGACCUCAUUCAUCCAAAGAGAUACAAGAAAGGAGGGGAAAUCCGCAAGGUCAGAGCCACCAAUGUUCUCUGUUCACGCUGGAUCAUGGGCAUCACAAAAUCACACAUAUAAAAACAGUGGGGAUUUAACAGAAGUUACAAAAUAAUGAAUUUCUUUUCAAAAUGUUACAUGACCCCAAAUAUAAAUAUCAUCAUUAUUGGGUGACUGUCUUUUAAAGGACAUGGACAUCCUAGUUUUAGGAAAUAUUUGCUGGAAAAGGGACAUGAUGUAUGUCACUUACCCUCAAAUGAGUUCAGAAAAAAAAAAAAUCCAUAUGCACACACACAGAGCCAUCACCAGGUAAAUGAGGCAAAAUGUGAAACCAGGAAAAUCUGGGUAAAGAGUAUACUAUUUUUGUUCUUGCAACUUUUUUUUAAGUUUGAAAUUACUUCUGAAUAAAAACUUCUUUUAAGAAAAGAAAAAAAAAACAGAUAA